AGUACAACUUUCGAAUGCUUACCC
Molecule: non-coding RNA, 24 nt
Filed under: Cricetulus griseus (Chinese hamster)
Lineage: Eukaryota; Metazoa; Chordata; Mammalia; Rodentia; Cricetidae
Source: RNAcentral